ACUGAACGCUGGCGGCAUGCCUUACACAUGCAAGUCGAACGGCAGCACGGGUGCUUGCCCCUGGUGGCGAGUGGCGAACGGGUGAGUAAUACAUCGGAACAUGUCCUGUAGUGGGGGAUAGCCCGGCGAAAGCCGGAUUAAUACCGCAUACGAUCUACGGAUGAAAGCGGGGGACCUUCGGGCCUCGCGCUAUAGGGUUGGCCGAUGGCUGAUUAGCUAGUUGGUGGGGUAAAGGCCUACCAAGGCGACGAUCAGUAGCUGGUCUGAGAGGACGACCAGCCACACUGGGACUGAGACACGGCCCAGACUCCUACGGGAGGCAGCAGUGGGGAAUUUUGGACAAUGGGCGAAAGCCUGAUCCAGCAAUGCCGCGUGUGUGAAGAAGGCCUUCGGGUUGUAAAGCACUUUUGUCCGGAAAGAAAUCCUUGGCCCUAAUACGGUCGGGGGAUGACGGUACCGGAAGAAUAAGCACCGGCUAACUACGUG
RNAcentral lists this ribosomal RNA (486 nucleotides) under uncultured bacterium. RNAcentral's name for it is "partial 16S ribosomal RNA". It matches the Rfam family "Bacterial small subunit ribosomal RNA", at positions 30 to 507 of the family's 1533-position model. The record is from RNAcentral.